AACCGGAAUGUCCUUAAAUUGGUGUUGCAGGAAAUCAGGACUGUUACUUUGAAAAAAUUAAAGUGUUUAAAGCAGGCUAAGGCUUGAAUACCUUAACAUGGAAUAAUGAAAUAAGACGUUUGAUCCUAUUUUGUUGGUUUCUAGGAUUGACGUAAUGAUUAAUAGGGAUAGUUGGGGGCAUUAAUAUUCAAUUGUCAAAGGUGAAAUUCUUGGAUUUAUUGAAAACUAACUACGGCAAAAGCAUUUGCCAAGGAUGUUUUCAUUAAUCAAAAACGAAAGUUAGGGGAUCGAAAACAAUCAAUACCGUCGUAGUCUUAACCAUAACCUAUGCCGACAAGGGAUCGGA
This 346-nucleotide ribosomal RNA is filed under the name uncultured Glomeromycotina. Its description in RNAcentral is "SSU rRNA". It matches the Rfam family "Eukaryotic small subunit ribosomal RNA", at positions 709 to 1057 of the family's 1831-position model. The record is from RNAcentral. Lineage: Eukaryota; Fungi; Glomeromycota.